GUGCUUGCUUCAGCAGCACAUAUACUAAAACUAGAAUGAUACAGAGAAGAUUCGCACAGCCCCUAUCCAAGGGGGGGACUCGCAAUUCGUGAAGCGUUCCAUAGUUUU
Nycticebus coucang (slow loris) is the source of this 108-nucleotide small nuclear RNA. Lineage: Eukaryota; Metazoa; Chordata; Mammalia; Primates; Lorisidae. The record is from RefSeq and is a predicted model, not a curated record.